CAGCAGGGCAGGAGGCGGUCUUCACGGCCUGUAUUAAAAGCAAGCCGCAAUAUGCUGAGUCCUCGCUGAAGUGGAGGACUGUGCACAUAUGUGUGUGGACAUGUGCACACGUGUGCACAUAUGUGUUGUCCUGAGACCCGGAGGAUUGACAAGAGCGCCCAGGUGUGACCUGCAGGUGACACAGGCGUCUUCCCGCCCCCCUGCUCUUCACUCCACCAAUCAGAUUUGAGGACAGGGCCUGAGGACAGCCAGAGCUGCAGCAGCCAUAACAGCAGCCCCUGCUCUCAGUUCCUGUCAGGUACGCUGCCGUCUUAGAAAGGGGGAAAGGGAGCUGGGUGGAGUCUGGUUCUCUCUGACAUCUGAAACAAAGUGGAAACAAAACCAGAGGCUCUUGCUUCCCAGAGCAGAAAAUUCGAGGACUUUGUGACUCCCGCCCGGAGUGCUCUCGACUCCUGGAAAGGCAGGAGCAACUCCCGAGCUCAGGAGAGGCCCUGGCUACUGUGAGGAGAGGCCCUGGGCUAAGUCACUCUUGAAGGAACAUGAGUUCUCCAGGCCUGGGUUUGUCUUCUGGGGAAACCAAGUGGGGUUCGUGCAGCUUUCACCAGGAGCGCGCUGCUCAUGGGACGGAGCUCCGGGAGCUUGUCUGCUGCGGACCUCGGGAAGACCCUGGUCCUGAAGGUGGCACCGAGUCCCAGACAGCCAGCUCCCCGCUUGCUAUCCCGAGGUUCAAAGGAGUUUUGCAUACCGUCUGCCUAUGGUCCCUUAGACCGAACCCCAGCUCUGCAGCCUCACAGUCAUUAACCGGCCACAUGCACGGCGUGAAAGGGACUGGGAAGUCUGACCAGGGGCACCAGGAGCAGUCUGUGUUGGGCAGCUCUCACCAAGGAGCCUUGUCUAGUAAGGGGUGUUUGGAAGGUGAUUACUAAGAUGAAUUUGUCAAAUUUGAAACAGCAUUAUUUUUGACAUAAAAAACUAAGCUUCUAUAUGUGGAAUUUCUGAUAUUUUGUAGACAAAGGACAAACAGAAGUAAAGAAGGAGAAAGAAGAUGAGGAAAAAAAAAUAUGUUGGAAUUAAUCCAGUUUAUACCGUCUGGUCUCAUUCUAUCCAAUGCUCAUCCGCUCUGCUCCUAUCCUGCCCUUCCUGCUCUACUCGGAUGGCACUACAGCAAAUGCCAGGAACUGUGGGAAACAAAGUGAUAAUUAUAACACCUCGUUAGUGUAAUGACGUCAUCUGCCAGAAGGUGAACUUUCUCUGUUGCUGCAGGAUGAAGACAUUUGGAGCAUAUUUAAGGAUAGGUGUCAGAAGGUGCAGUGGACACUGAGGGACUGCUCUCUAGCAGGCCCUGUUUACCUUGUGAGCUGGGUGGGGAAUUUCAGAGGCAAGGCUGGAGCCAGAGGAAAGUAAACGCAAUUAAGAUGUCAUACGUAUAUGUUCCAGUUCCCCAAGAUGCAUGCAAAUCCCUGUGUACCUUAUCGACAUCACAUAUACCAAUAAACAUUACUCACUGAAUAAAGACCUUC
Molecule: long non-coding RNA, 1520 nt
Filed under: Chinchilla lanigera (long-tailed chinchilla)
Lineage: Eukaryota; Metazoa; Chordata; Mammalia; Rodentia; Chinchillidae
Description: lncRNA (ENSCLAG00000026620.1)
Source: RNAcentral